Molecule: microRNA precursor, 95 nt
Filed under: Otolemur garnettii (small-eared galago)
Lineage: Eukaryota; Metazoa; Chordata; Mammalia; Primates; Galagidae
Description: miRNA (ENSOGAG00000023299.1)
Source: RNAcentral
AGCCAUACCACCAUCCUGGCUUGCCUGGGACUGAGGGAUUCAUAGUUAAAACCAGGAAAGCCUUGGGCAAACUGGGAUGAGUUGAUCAUUCUACC